UUCAUUUCUCCCUCGAAGACCGACGGCCCACCUCCCAUUGCUUCUUACGGUUCUUCUUCUCCCGCAAUUGCAGCGACACGCGGCGGAGAUUGGAGGCCACAUCACCGGCCGAGAUCGGAUCCACCGCAUCAACUCGCGAGCAACAACUCGUCGGCCUCAUCCCGCUUGAACGGAUCCGUGCUCCUCGUCCCUCUUAAACGGAUCCGCGCUCCUCAUCCCGUCAGCCCCCUUCCCCGCUGUUCCGUCGUCGUUGCUCUCCCCGCCGCUGAAAACCAAAGGGGGCACAGACCACAGACCUGCAAUUCCCGCCGGUCGUGGGGUGCCGACAUGUAUGCAGCUACCGCGGGCUGCGGGCUGCCGGCGUGUACAGAUACUGCUCCAACAGGCGGCGGCCAUCGUACCUGCUCCACCUUUCAACCCCUUUUCUAUGGCAAAUUGCAAAUUACCCACGCGUUGCUCUGUCAGUAUGAGAUGUGCUUGCACUUGUGUAUUGUUUGCUAGAUCUGAACUAUUCUAUUUCAAAACCAAUUGUGAUUUGCUAGAUCUGCAGUAUAAUAUUCCAUAUAGCUGAUUCUUUUUCUUCUUUCCACCAAAAAUAAGUCGAAGAAGAAAGUAUAUUUUACAAGUAAUUUUGGCCUGAAAUCAAACAGAAGCCAACGUUUUUGCAAAAAUUUGGCAUUCACUAUUGGGCUACAAUCCAAACAGUCGUAGCUUACCAAUAUGCAUGUCCUUGAUUUGGUCAUGACUAUUUUCGCAGGGCUACAUGGUGCUUAAUUCAAACACACACACUGUACAAUGAUCUUUUAUUUAAUUAAAUUCUAGAUGCUCUAUACACCGACGGAUGUUUGCUUGAUUUCCAAGUAAUUUAUUUAUUUCGAUCUGUUCCAGAAUUCAGGCAAACAUCCACUGUAUUUUCCAUUUUUGCAAUUUCAGAAAUUAUUCAGUUCAUAUCACCAUGCAUCUAUUUUCUAGUAGCAAUCCAUAGUUCCAUCUGCGUGUACAUGCCUACAGGGCCCCCGUGUAUUGCUUAUUUGGGUUGCACUUCAUCGUUGAGUGCAUGUUGGCUGUAGGUUUUACCUGGUUGUGAGGUUCUUUCUUGUUUUCUAAACUAUGCCAACUAGUGUAAUAAACUUUAUGGUUUUCUGAACUAUGCCAUUGCCUAUACUAAUAUUAAGUUUCUUGCCUUGUUUUCUUAGGCUUGCUGAUUGCUUCUCGCCGACCGUGCCCUAGCUGCAUCCUGCAUGCUGCUUGGACCACUUUUUUAGAUCCCAAUGCAUUGAAAUCUUCAAUUUUUGUUAAUAUUGUCUUGCGUGCACUGCCUAUUAACAGUAUUUCGAGUUUACAUCACUGCUUUACACAAUAUAUAUUGUUUAUUUUUUGAAUACCAAUGCAAAGCCAAUCUAUGUUUGCAUUAGUUAUAUAUACAAUAUUAGUGCAUCAUGUAUUUACAUUCUGAGCUAUCUACACUACUAUAUUCAUUUGUGUUUCAGGAAAGUACGCAUGCACAGGGAAAAUGGCUACAUAUUUUCAGCUUCAAGUACUACAACCACGCCACUAGUUUCGGUGAGUGAGAUGGAAAGGAGGGCAUUUCAUGCAGAAGAUAAACACAGCAGUCAGGCAU
Molecule: long non-coding RNA, 1621 nt
Organism: Triticum dicoccoides
Lineage: Eukaryota; Viridiplantae; Streptophyta; Magnoliopsida; Poales; Poaceae
Exons: 3
Source: RefSeq, a predicted model, not a curated record